This 414-nucleotide unclassified non-coding RNA is filed under the name uncultured Chytridiomycota. RNAcentral's name for it is "partial contains 5.8S ribosomal RNA, internal transcribed spacer 2, and large subunit ribosomal RNA". The stretch from base 1 to 102 matches the Rfam family "5.8S ribosomal RNA", at positions 53 to 154 of the family's 154-position model. The record is from RNAcentral. Lineage: Eukaryota; Fungi; Chytridiomycota.
UUGCGAUAAGUAAUGUGAAUUGCAGAAUUCAGUGAAUCAUCAAAUCUUUGAACGCACAUUGCGCUCCUUGGUAUUCCGGGGAGCAUGCCUGUUUGAGAAUCAAUAAAUCUCUCACCGUCAGAUCUGUUUGAUUAGUUUCGCUCGGAUCCGGAGGUGGAUAUGAGUCUUUUGCGUUCCAUCAGUGAACACAAUGACUUUAAAUUCAAUGUCUGCUGCUUUCUCUUGAUGGGGAAUGGCUUUGAGUGCAUGAACUGUUUUAAUUAACUUAGAUUUCACUCUUGCAAGCUUUCAUUCCUGAUGUCUGGGAGAUGAGCCGUUGGACCCAACCAUUACAUCUCUGCGCGGGCUGAUUUUUUUCGGCCCUCGCAUUGAAUACUUGGUCUCAAAUCAGGUAGGAAAACCCGCUGAACUUAA